This 229-nucleotide ribosomal RNA is filed under the name uncultured bacterium. RNAcentral's name for it is "partial 16S ribosomal RNA". It matches the Rfam family "Bacterial small subunit ribosomal RNA", at positions 568 to 796 of the family's 1533-position model. The record is from RNAcentral.
UGCGUAGGCGGACUAAUAAGUCAGUGGUGAAAUCUUUCGGCUCAACCGAGAAACUACCAUUGAUACUGUUAGUCUUGAGUUCGGUUGAGGUAGGCGGAAUGUGUAAUGUAGCGGUGAAAUGCUUAGAUAUUACACAGAACACCAAUUGCGUAGGCAGCUUACUAGACCGACACUGACGCUGAGGCACGAAAGCGUGGGGAGCGAACAGGAUUAGAUACCCUGGUAGUCC